CUAAGACAGAAAUUGGUACCAGAAGUGGGGUGCUGCUGUAACAAAUACCUGAAAAUGUGGAAGCAGCUUUAGAACAGGGAAAUGGGCAGAGGCUGGAAGAGUUUGGAGGAGCAGGCUAGAAAAAGUCUGCAUUGCCAUGAAUGGAAAUAAAGGAUAAUUCUGGUGAGGGUGUAGAAGAGGAGAGCUGUAGAGAAAGCCUGUAUCUUUUUAGAGAUUGCUUAAGUGGUUGUGAUCAGAAUGUUGGUAGAGGGGGUAUAGCUCAGGGGUAGAGAUUUGACUGCAGAAUGUUGGUAGACAUAUGAAUAGUAAAGGUCAUUUGAUGAGGUCUCAGAUGGAAAUGAGGAAUAUGUUAUUGGAAACUGGAGGAAAGGCCAUCCUUAUUAUAAAGUGACAAAGAAUUUGGCUGAAUUGUUUUUGUGUCAUAGUGUUUUGUGGAAGGCAGAAUAUUUAGUGGAAGAAACCUCUAAGCCAAAUGUUGAGGAUGUGUUGUGGCUUCUCUUGACUCUUAUAAUAAAAUAUGAAAAGAGAGAAAUAAAUUAAAAAUGGAAUUUAUAAUCAAAAGGGAAGCAGAACCUAAAAAGUUGGAAAAUUCUUAGCCUGUAAAAAAUGAGAAAACAUGUUCAGGAGAGAACACCAUGGAUGUGGCUCUACUAGGGCCACCCCUCCAAAAGAAAAAGUGGUAAAGCUUGGUGGUAUCCUCAUGAUGCUAACUCUGCAGGCACCCAGAGUGCAUGAGCUGUGGGGGAAUGGCUGUCUCCACCUAGAUUUCAAAGGAUGCCCUGGAGAGUGUUGGAGUCUGGGCAGAGAACUGCUGCAGGGGCAGGACCACCACAGAGAGUCCCCAGUAGGUAAUGCCUGGCAGAACGGUGGGGUUGGGACCACCACAGGCAGCCUAUACUAGGGCAAUGCCUAGUGAAGUUGUGGGAUUGGGGCUGCCCCUGAGAUCCCAGAAUUAUAGAGCCAUCAGUGUGCAACCCCAGCCUAAGAGGGCUGCAGGCACAAGACUCCAACCGUGAGAGCUGCCCCGUGGGCUGUGCCCAGCAAAGCCAUGGGGCCAGGCUGUCCAGAACCUUGGGGGUCUAACGUCUGCCCCAGAGUGACCAGAAGGUGGGAGAUGGAGUCAGCCUUAAGGUUUAAUGUUGUUUGCCCUGUUGAACUUUGGACUUGGUCAGGUCCUGUCACUUCUUUCUUCUUUCCUAUUACUCCUUUUUGGAGGGGGGAUGUCUAUCCUAUGUCUGUCCCAAAAUUAUAUUUUGGAAGCACAUAACUUCCUUGAUUUCAUAGGUUCACAUGAAUCAUACCUUGAAUAUCACCCACAUCUGAUUUAGAUGCUAUUGGUAUGAGACUUGGGACUUAGACUUUAAAGUGGAAGCUGGAACCAGUUAAGAGUUUUUUGGGACUAUUGGGAUGGAAUGAAUGUAUUCUGUAUGUGAGAAAGACAUGAAUUCGGGGUCGGGGGUGGCGGGAGAAUGCUGUGGUUUAAGUGUUGUGUCCCUCCAAAAUUCUUGUUGAAAUGUGAUGCCCAGUGCAAUAAUAGUAUUAGGAGGUGGGGCAUGGAAGCGAAACUACCCUGUGGAGGAGAGAAUAGUUUUGAACUGCAUGAGCCAGAAAGCCAGAAAGCCAGAAAGCCAUUGUAUGGGAAACACCUUUAAUCAUCAGAGGUGCCCAGAGUGGCCAAUUGGAAUCUCGUCAACCAAAACUGGAAAUUUUCUACCGUCAAGGCUAUUUCUGAUAAUGCAGUGAUACAGUUGUAAACACACCAUACCUUUCUUCCUUUAUGGUAGGAAUUCUGUAUAGUAGGCUUUAUCAGAAUUCCUGUGUUUGUAGGGUACAAAUCUGUAAACUGUACUGCAAAGAGCCAUGCAUCUCUCUGUGAAGCUGUGUGUUUUUUGCAUUCCAUCUCUCCAUUAUAAAAGUCAAGUUCCAGUCAACUCUGCUGAAGGAAGGACUAAAUUAUUUUUGUAUUCACUCUGGAAAAUAUUACCAAGUUGUUGAAUAAAGAGAGGGUCAAAAAGUUUGUGGCCAAAAACACACCUAUAUAUCUAUAUCAUCUAUAUGUAUUAUCUGUCCAUAUCAUCUGUAUAUUUGAUAUGGAAGUCUUUCAGGAAGUUAAUUAAAACAUUUUGCUACUUUUUUUUUAACCUGGAUUUUGUGUUGUCAGUUUAAAAAAAGUUGUAAUUUGUUAUAUUUUAUUUUUUGUUUCUAAGUAAAUAUUCAGUUUAAUACCUGGCUUUGUGUUCAUAAUUUUCUAAUUCUCUUUCUUAAUAUGGACCCUUCAGUUUGCAUAAGCCUCAGGCCCCACUAAAUCGAGAUGCAGUCCAUGUAGGCCUAAGUCAGUUGCUACCCUGGUGACAUGGAAGCUCGUGCAAUGGAAGGAGGGAAGCAGGAGGGAGAAAGAGGAUACAAGGAUGGAAGAAAAGAGCUAAAGAUUAACUUUGCUUUUGUCACAAUUAUCCUGAGGGCUGACUUUGGGGGUUUGGACAUCAGGGCAUUGUCUGUAAUUGCCCGCUACUGUAUAUGUGGUGCACUGUAUGUGGCAAUGUGGGAGACUUAAGAAGAAACUGAAAAUAGGGCAUUAGUUCUCAGCCUCCUCAUUGGAAAGACAAGCUUGCCAAGCACUGCUGAAAAACCUACACAGAUGAAAUGAGAAACGAAAACUGACUCAGCACAAAAACACAUGUGAUUAUUAUGGCAUGAAAUGCAUGGGAAGGGUCAAUGUGGUGUGUAGUCUCAAAUUGGCCUCUACCAGCCACCCCAGGUCCUGUCUGUGACAAGCUUGCCACCCUGAACUCCUGGAACGGGUCUUCUGGCUUGCGUGGAUUCUUGUUUGCUGAAACUCAUGUGUGAUGGAUGAAUGCUGCUGGAGACGGAUUGUGGCAAUGAACACAAGCAGCUGUUCCCAGUGAACCUAAGCAGGCGAACAGCUAGCCACGCAGGCAGAAGAAAUUUUAUAGGCAAAUGCGGUAAUGGCAGUAGACAAAUUAGGUGAGCAGCAAUCUGAGCAUCUGUGCUCAGAGCCAAGGGGAAGAGGCGGGUGAAGAGCUCUCAAAUUGAGGUCAUUCAUCUCCAACCAGCUUGUGGGUUCCCCUUCCGUUUAAGCUUAUGAGCAGAAGAGACUAUUUGACCUAUGGUGUGACUCCUUUCUAGCAAUACUACUGAAGAAUGAGAUAACCUUAUUUUCUGUGUCAGGUCAGGCUUUGAGUGUAAGUAGUUGUGUCAGGGUUUAGGUAUCUUUUCAUAUCAGAAAUGCGUAAUAAGUCAUUUUAUAACAGGAUUCUACUCUUUGUUCUUCAUGGUCAGGUUAUUUUGCAUGGUAAGACUGUAAGUUGCUUACAGUAGUAAUUUUUAAGGUCUAUGUUUCUUGAAUUUAUCUACCAUUGGCCUUUACAGAAUGAUGAUCGUACUCUUCUAGGUCAGUGUAAAUAAUUCAUGAUCUCAGCGGCAAAAUUCCUUUUUGGGGAGGAAGUUGUCUUUGCUUGUUGGGGGCUCGGGGAACUCUGGUUAGGUCAGGAGAGUUAGGAGAUAAGACCUGGGGUCAAAGGCAGAGUGAGCAUGGAGAAUGAUUUAUAGCAGUGCCACCAUCUUAGGGCCAGCCGGUGGGUGGCUGAGAGGCAGAGAGGUGGAGGCGUGCGGGAGGAAGUGCAGUGGGAAGCCUGUAGGCGGAGGCUGGGAUGCGUGCGGGGCAGGAGUCAUGGGAAGAUCCCCCGGGUCAGAGGUGAGCAGAGGACGGCCUGACAGCAGGCAUGCCUGAGGCUCACCUGGAAAUUGCCUUCCUCCUUCCGACCUCUGAGGAGGUCUGCUGUCUUCACAAGCCACUUUAUCACUUCGUGGAAUUUGAGCAAUGGGUUGCAUUAUAUACCUGGUUCCCUCAGAGGAAGGUCACAGCUGGAGGUGAUCUUGCACCCUUAGCCGUCUGGGAUCUGCUGAAGUCUUGGGGAGGGUGGGGACUGUGUGUUUGGGUCAGAUUAAUCUCAAGAAGCCAGCACAUUACAACCAAUUUCUGGCUUUAUCAUUGCGUGGGGCACGUCUGUACAUUAGGCAAGCUGAUUCCACAACCACCCACGAAGCCAGUCUCUUUUUAUAGCUGUGCUCAUGCAUGUGAAGCUUUUUUGGAAGACGGGAUAUAAGAUUCACGUUAUUUAUGCCCUUAAGCUCUUAAGGAAAUACUUACGAUUAUGUCUAAGUCAAUGCUGAGCAUAUAGGGCAAUUACACUUACAUAUUAACCGUAUGAUCUUUUCAUGACUAAAUUCUAUGUAAUCUAUAUUUUGUGAUAUUUGUAAUAGUACAGUGGGGUAGAAUAUAUGAGUUUUUUUGUUAGCUGGUAAAAUUAAUCUCAGAAUCUUUGGGUAUUGGGUCCCCUUUUCUCAGGCUUGCUUAGACCUAGAACCUUAAAAAUGAGAAUCCCUCCCAGCCACUCCAUUUAUCUUUAAAAUAUGUUCCACCUGCUUAAAGAGAAAAUUUAGAGACAGUGAUAAAAACUCAGAGUAUUUAACUCCUUUCUGAAUGUGUUGAGCAUCUGCAUCAUGAUUACAUUUGUUCAUUAACUUCAUAAUGACUUUGGAUCCUAAUUUUAUCUAUGUUAGAAUUCUGCAUUCUCCAUUGGAAAGCUAAGCAUGCGUAGACGGGCAUCGCUAAGGAAAAAAGUGGACACCCAUUGCCUCUUCAUUGAGGAUGUUAAUCAUGCUCUGUGUCUAUGACUUUCCAUUGCCCUUUCAUUGGCUUAUGUCUAAUAGCCGCAGAAUAUGCUUUAAGGGUGUUAAUGAAUAACAGAAAUAGAUUUCCACUUCUCAAAAAAGAGCUUUGGUGUUUCUGGGACUAAUUAAGGCAUCUGAAGAAGUAACUGGGUCACUGCCUAGCAGUCUCUGUAGUGAUGAUUGGUUUAAGAGGGGAGAGGCUGAUUAAGCUUCACCUUGGGACUUUUAAUUAUGUCUUGGUAACUGUAUGGAAAUAUACACCCAGUGAACUAAUAACUUAAAUCUUAUUAUAAAGAUUUAAAAAUGGCCAAUAAUGUAUUUUUACCUUUUUGAUCUCCUUUUAGUAUUGGGAAAUAAUGACAUUAGAGGAGAGUGGAAUACCGAUCACUCGAUAGUUGUUCAUUAAAUAUGUUAUGUAAGUACAACUCCAUUACAAGGGAAUCCCCUGGAUAUGAAAAUGUAUUCUUGCAGUGGAGUUUCUGAAAACUAGACUUUUAAAGUCAGGUUUUUAGGCCACUGGCACCAAAGUGAAAUAAAACAGGGCCUAGCACAUCACUAGUAAAUUAGGAAGUGCAAAGAAAUCAGGUUAAAAUUUGCAUCCAUUUUGGUCAAAGCAAAAUUAGGUACAAAUGACCUUUACAAGAAAGUGAUACAAAAAUUCUGAAAAGAGAGCUCAUGGGCUUUCCUUCCUUCUCAUUCUUAUGUCUAUCUGUUUCUGAAUUUCUUAAAUGUGAUUUGUGGGAUUUUGUGAGUGAUCUGGGGCGAUGGUGGUUUUUUUGUUGGGGUUUGAGGCCUUGGUGGGAUUAGGAUGCUUGUGGAGGAGAUGGAAGAAUCAGUCAAUUGAGGCAGAAGAGUGAGAUUUUGAAGAACAAGACUUGGCAUUUGCAGUGACAUGAAUAAUAUUAUUUUAAGACAAUCUAAUCCUUGACUAUUUAAAAUAUACUUGUUCAAUGGAAACUGUAAGCCAAAUGGGCAAAAGGAACCUUGAUUCAUUCCCUGUGAGUUUGUGAAGCUACUUUGCAGCUCUUUGGGUGUUUGUCUUCAUCUCUUGUCUAGUACCAGUUUUAUUUAUCUGAAGAUUACUGUUUAAAAGUCCGUUCAUUCUGCUUCGUGUACUGGAGGAUUUGCUUCAUGCUUGUUAGAGAUGACACUCAAAGUUCUUUACAGAAUUUAAUCCUGACCCUGUUUUUAAGGGGUAGACACAUUUAUCUCUUUCGCAGAUGGAGAUUUUUGCCUAAAGUCUGUGCUGAGGGACAGAGAAAAAGAAAUAGUUCUCUUCCCGUUUUUAGGCUACAUGGGUUUUCAAGAUAUAUUUGUAUCCCCUUUCUCAACAUGUAAACCUCAGUCAUAAGAAAAUGAAGGGCUCCCCCUCACACCUCUGUUCUGUCUUCACGCCUCCCUCGUUUCUCCAUGACUCCUCUUUCCUCCUGACUCCUUCCUCAUCCUUGUAUACAAUCUCCCUCUCCCCUUCCUCCUCCUCUUCCCCCUCCUCCUCCUCUUUCUCCUCUUCCUCCUCCUCCUCUUCCUCCUCCCCCUCCCCUCCCCUCCUCCCCUCCUCUUCCUCCUUCUCCUUCUGUUCCUCCUCCUCCUUCCACUUUUCCUUCCUUUCUUCCCCCUAAUCCCUACCCUUGGCUCCUUGGGUCUGGGUCUGUCUGACAAGCAGGCAUUUAGUCCAAAGGGAACGAUUCAGCCCAUAUCUUCUUUCUCAACCCAGUACUAAGCAGGGCAGCCAUCUUAGUCCACCUGAACUGUUUUCUUUUUUGCCGUAGACCUCAAUGGACUUCAUUUGUUCCCUUUCAGCUCUCUGGUCUUGAAGGAGACAAAGUUUUUAAAUAGUGCAGACUAACAUUUAAGGUUUGCUUUGCUCUUAGCUUAGGCAUUUUCCCUUUCCCUCUUUUCACAAUGUGGUUUUCUUUUACCUAGUUAAAAAGAAAAAUUAGAGCUUUCAUGCCAGUCAGGUUGGGGCAUGCUCUAGAGAGACAAAGUCAAGACUUGCAACUGGCAAGAAGUCAAUCCAGCCCCCGACACCUACUGUGCUCUGAGAGGGGAAGCAGCCCGCAGGAGGGAUUUUAGAAAAAAACUCAAACUGCCUCUUAUUUAAAAGGUGUUAUUUGCAUGUUUCUGGCUCUGU
Molecule: long non-coding RNA, 6826 nt
Filed under: Homo sapiens (human)
Lineage: Eukaryota; Metazoa; Chordata; Mammalia; Primates; Hominidae
Description: non-protein coding lnc-DNAH5-4:1
Source: RNAcentral